GGGCCUUCUUUUGGAUGUUCUGGGUCUCACUGACUCAGCUGCAGUUUGUUAGGUAAGUUUAGAAUUCAAAAGACCAGGCCA
RNAcentral lists this microRNA precursor (81 nucleotides) under Eptesicus fuscus (big brown bat). RNAcentral describes it as "microRNA efu-mir-9232 precursor". Lineage: Eukaryota; Metazoa; Chordata; Mammalia; Chiroptera; Vespertilionidae. The record is from miRBase by way of RNAcentral.